AGGUUAACCACUCAUUUAUUGUGAUAAGUUUGGGUUUUUUUGGAAAGGUGUUUGCUUGGCUUGAGCAUAGGUGGUUUUGAUGUAGAUCAUCAAUCUCCAACUCCUUAAAGAUCACAAGCUUCAUCCCAUCAAGAAACUAGCUUAUCGCGGUAAAUGCAGUGUUUUAAGGACUCCAUGGGCUAUUAAAUAGUUGUUUUGAACAACCACAUUUAUUUUGGAAGUAUUGUACUUUGUUUAUAAUAUUGUCAUAGUUUGGGUGGUUGUUUUUUUUUAGUAUGGGCUAUCACAUAGUUGUUUUGAACAACCACAUUUAUUUUGGAAGUAUUGUACUUUGUUUAUAAUAUUGUCAUAAUUUGGGUGGUUUUUUUUUUUUUUUUUUUUUUUUUUUUUUUUUUUUUUUGUGUGUGUAGAUAGACAAGUGUUUUGUUAAAUUCAAGAUGAUACUUUAGACA
Molecule: long non-coding RNA, 452 nt
Organism: Quercus robur (English oak)
Lineage: Eukaryota; Viridiplantae; Streptophyta; Magnoliopsida; Fagales; Fagaceae
Exons: 2
Source: RefSeq, a predicted model, not a curated record